Molecule: ribosomal RNA, 776 nt
Filed under: uncultured Neocallimastigales
Lineage: Eukaryota; Fungi; Neocallimastigomycota; Neocallimastigomycetes; Neocallimastigales
Description: partial large subunit ribosomal RNA
Rfam family: Eukaryotic large subunit ribosomal RNA
Source: RNAcentral
GUACACGCUGUGACUAGCAUAUCAAUAAGCGGAGGAAAAGAAACUAACAAGGAUUCCCCUAGUAACGGCGAGUGAAGCGGGAAGAGCUCAAAUUUGAAAUCUUAAAGGGUUUCCCUUUACGAAUUGUAGUUUAAAGAAGUGUUUUCUGUUGAGGUUUUGGUAAAAGUUCUUUGGAAUAGGACAUCAUAGAGGGUGAGAAUCCCGUAUUUGACCUUUACUUUCAACUUUGUGAUACACUUUCAAAGAGUCGGAUUGUUUGGGAAUGCAGUCCAAAAUGGGUGGUAAAUUUCAUCUAAAGCUAAAUAUUGGCGAGAGACCGAUAGCGAACAAGUACCGUGAGGGAAAGAUGAAAAGAACUUUGAAAAAGAGAGUUAAACAGUACGUGAAAUUGUCAAAAGGGAAGCGUUUGACACCAGUGUUGUUUUUCUGAAAAUCAAUUAAAGAACUGUUUAUGCUAAGCUGUUUAGACUUUAUCAGCUAAUCUGUUUAGUUUUGAGCUUUUCUUUAAUGCACUUUUCAGUUAACAAGUCAACAUCAAUUUCUUUUGCUGUAAAAAAGCUUGAGGAAGGUGGCUUGAGAUUCGUCUUAAGUGUUUAUAGCCUCUUGCCUAUGCAGUCGGAGAGAUUGAGGUCUGCAGCGUAGAUCCUUCGGGGCUAAAUGCAUUUGUGCUAAGUUAUAGCAUUUUAUAGACAACUUGUUGACUAUGAUUUGUCUUGUAGCUUACUCGCUUAUGUUAUUUUACCUACGCUUAGGAUGUUGAAGAUGUAGCACAUCAU